Molecule: ribosomal RNA, 450 nt
Filed under: Rakaia pauli
Lineage: Eukaryota; Metazoa; Arthropoda; Arachnida; Opiliones; Pettalidae
Description: partial 16S ribosomal RNA
Source: RNAcentral
UAUUCUGCUCCAUGAUUAAUUAAAUAGCUGCAUAUAUUGUACUAAGGUAGCAUAAUCAAUUGUCUAUUAAUUGUAGACUUGUAUGAAAGAAUGAAUAAUUAGAUACUUUAUUUAUAAUAAUGAUUGAAGUUUGAAUUUUAGUUAUAAUACUANAAUAUAUUAUAGGGACGAGAAGACCCUNUAAAGCUUAAAAAUAUAANUUUAUUUUAAGAUAAUUUUAUAUUUUAAAUUGGGGCAAUUUUUUAUAAUCUAAAAUAUAAAAAAAUUUUUUAUAAUUUUAUAAGAUCCUUUAUUAAAGAUAAUUUGAAUAAGUUACUCUAGGGAUAACAGUAUAAUUUUUAUUUAAAAGUACAAAUUUACAAUAAAGAUUAUAACCUCGAUGUUGAAUUAAUUUAAUAUUAUAGUGAAGAAGCUAUUUUUAUUUGACUGUUCGUCAAUUAAUUAUUUACA